AUGGUCCGAUGGAGGGCGGCGACUUUGAUGUGCGGGGCGACGACGAAGGGAUGGAUCCGCGACGGAGAGAUGGAACGGCGGCGGCGAAUGGAUGAACUGGCGGUGGCGAAGGGGUGGAUCUGGGGCGAAGGGAUGGAGGGCGGCGUCUCACGACCUGCUGUGCGAGUCGUGCGGCGCUCGAGGGCAGGAGGCCUUGCUCUUUGCAGAGGAUGCUUUUGUUUCAACUUUAAGAAUGACCAUUGGAUUUUGCUUCAUGAGGUCAACCUUGCACCUCCAGAGACUCUUCAGAGAAUUGGUGUUGUACUGGACGGAGAGAAGGGCAUGUUGUGCCUUGCUGAAAUGGGUGAUGUUGAUUAUAUUGAAAGCCAUGCAUGA
Molecule: ribosomal RNA, 375 nt
Filed under: Triticum aestivum (bread wheat)
Lineage: Eukaryota; Viridiplantae; Streptophyta; Magnoliopsida; Poales; Poaceae
Description: partial small subunit ribosomal RNA
Source: RNAcentral